CAAAGUCAGGGAUUCCCCCAGUGUAAUAUAAGCCUGGUGGGCCACCAGACUUUACAUGUGCCCCCACCAGGAUAAGCAAUGUUUUUUUAUUUAAGUCCUCUU
This is a long non-coding RNA of Poecilia latipinna (sailfin molly), 102 nucleotides long. RefSeq lists it as uncharacterized. The transcript has 3 exons. The record is from RefSeq and is a predicted model, not a curated record. NCBI's taxonomy places the organism in Eukaryota, Metazoa, Chordata, Actinopteri, Cyprinodontiformes, Poeciliidae.